RNAcentral lists this ribosomal RNA (200 nucleotides) under uncultured bacterium. RNAcentral's name for it is "partial 16S ribosomal RNA". It matches the Rfam family "Bacterial small subunit ribosomal RNA", at positions 8 to 204 of the family's 1533-position model. The record is from RNAcentral.
AGAGUUUGAUCCUGGCUCAGGACGAACGCUGGCGGCGUGCUUAACACAUGCAAGUCGAACGGAAAGGCUUCUAGCUUGCUAGGGGUACUCGAGUGGCGAACGGGUGAGUAACACGUGGGUGAUCUGCCCUCAACUUUGGGAUAAGCCUGGGAAACUGGGUCUAAUACCGGAUAGGAACAAUCUUUAGUGUGGUUGUUGGA